UCUGCCUGCUCCGGCUCACUCCUUUCCCACUUUGCAGGCUGACUAGCACCACCUUCCAUUCCAGCUGCAGGCUCCUGGGUUCUGCUUCUGUUCCUGUGGGUGGCUUUCCUGAGAGCCCUCUUUAUUACCGUGGCCCAUUCUGAAUUUCAGACUUGAGUCCCAGCUAAGAGAAAUGUCUGGCUGAGGCCAUCCUGCCUUCCUGCCUCAAGGGGGAGGAAAAUCUCAUACAGAACAAUUCUGAAUGUUCAAGGUGACAUAGCAAACACUUGUUUCAUGGUUGAGACCCAGGUACAGGUUUUCUGCAAUGGAUUUCAUAUUUUCCCAAGUGUCCUUGACUGGCAUGUGGUCCUGACUCUUCUCAUCAGCCAUGGUCCAGGUGAUGGAUUUGGGCUUGAGUGCUGAGUGGCGCCAAGAGGAUAUUGGAUUACGAGGGGCCAUCCCCUUCACCCCUCAGAGAGACCCGGCCCACCCAUGCCCUGCACCUGUCUCUCUGGCCCCAAGUGUCUCCCAUAAUAAUUCCUAUUCUCCAAGCGACUUCCUCCUGAUGAACUGUGCCUGCCCCAUGGCUCUUCUGAAGUCCAUCAAUGUCUGCGUCAAAGUUUGAAAAUGCGACUGCUUUUAGGUAAUUUGAUAAAUUGUCUUAAGGCAUUUUCAUAUUCGUGUACUCUGUUUCUCCAUUCCAUUUAUAAGCUCCUUUAGGGAAAAAUCUAUAUCUUUUUUUCAUUUAUAACCUUCUCCACAUGAUUCUUAGGACAGAAUUUUCAUCAGUGUGCUUAUUGUCUGAACACAUUCCUUUUGGUAGGCUGAGAACCCUUAGAUGCUAACUUUAUUUCAUUCAUUAAUUUAUUUAAAAUAUUUACUGAGGCUUGGUAUGUGGCAGGCACUGGCUAAGUGCUAGGGGUUUAGUGUUGAAACUCACAGUCUGGGGCAAAGAUGGAAACAUAUACAAAUAACUGUAAUACAAUGUGGUAAGUGCUGUAAUACAGGCACUGGGAGCUCAGAGUGCUCUGGAAACCCAGGAGGGAGCUUAUGAAAUAAUUUACUUACUGUUCCAAUGUCUAAAUAUGAAUGUUUAGGUAAACACAUUUUCUUUUGAAA
Mesocricetus auratus (golden hamster) is the source of this 1098-nucleotide long non-coding RNA. RefSeq lists it as uncharacterized. NCBI's taxonomy places the organism in Eukaryota, Metazoa, Chordata, Mammalia, Rodentia, Cricetidae. The transcript has 5 exons. The record is from RefSeq and is a predicted model, not a curated record.